Molecule: ribosomal RNA, 649 nt
Filed under: uncultured crenarchaeote
Lineage: Archaea; Thermoproteati; Thermoproteota
Description: bacterial SSU rRNA
Rfam family: Archaeal small subunit ribosomal RNA
Source: RNAcentral
AAACUCGGUGAUGCAUUGGCUUGAUGCCAAUGCAGUGCCGCAGGGAAGCCGUUAAGUUUGCCGCCUGGGAAGUACGUACGCAAGUAUGAAACUUAAAGGAAUUGGCGGGGGAGCACCACAAGGGGUGAAGCCUGCGGUUCAAUUGGAGUCAACGCCAGAAAUCUUACCCGGAGAGACAGCAGAAUGAAGGUCAAGCUGAAGACUUUACCAGACAAGCUGAGAGGUGGUGCAUGGCCGUCGCCAGCUCGUGCCGUGAGAUGUCCUGUUAAGUCAGGUAACGAGCGAGAUCCUUGCCUCUAGUUGCCACCAUUACUCUCAGGAGUAGUGGGGCGAAUUAGCGGGACCGCCGUAGUUAAUACGGAGGAAGGAAGGGGCCACGGCAGGUCAGUAUGCCCCGAAACUCUGGGGCCACACGCGGGCUGCAAUGGUAACGACAAUGUGUUCCGAAUCCGAAAGGAGGAGGUAAUCCAGAAACGUUACCACAGUUAUGACUGAGGGCUGCAACUCGCCCUCACGAAUAUGGAAUCCCUAGUAACUGCGUGUCAUUAUCGCGCGGUGAAUACGUCCCUGCUCCUUGCACACACCGCCCGUCGUUUCAUUGAAGUUUGCUUUUAGCGAGGUGACGUCUGAUUGGCGUUAUCGAACUUGA